CCUACGGGAGGCAGCAGUGAGGAAUAUUGGUCAAUGGGCGAGAGCCUGAACCAGCCAAGUCGCGUGAGGGAAGACGGUCCUAUGGAUUGUAAACCUCUUUUGCCGGGGAGCAAAAAGCGGUACGUGUACCGCAUCGAGAGUACCCGGAGAAAAAGCAUCGGCUAACUCCGUGCCAGCAGCCGCGGUAAUACGGAGGAUGCGAGCGUUAUCCGGAUUUAUUGGGUUUAAAGGGUGCGCAGGCGGCGAGUUAAGUCAGCGGUAAAAUUUCGGGGCUCAACCCCGACGAGCCGUUGAGACUGGCGUGCUAGAGUGGGCGAGAGGUAUGCGGAAUGCGUGGUGUAGCGGUGAAAUGCAUAGAUAUCACGCAGAACUCCGAUUGCGAAGGCAGCAUACCGGCGCCCAACUGACGCUCAGGCACGAAAGCGUGGGUAUCGAACAGGAUUAGAUACCCCAGUAGUC
RNAcentral lists this ribosomal RNA (459 nucleotides) under uncultured bacterium. RNAcentral describes it as "partial 16S ribosomal RNA". It matches the Rfam family "Bacterial small subunit ribosomal RNA", at positions 338 to 795 of the family's 1533-position model. The record is from RNAcentral.